RNAcentral lists this ribosomal RNA (408 nucleotides) under uncultured bacterium. RNAcentral's name for it is "partial 16S ribosomal RNA". It matches the Rfam family "Bacterial small subunit ribosomal RNA", at positions 28 to 526 of the family's 1533-position model. The record is from RNAcentral.
GACGAACGCUGGCGGCGUGCUUAACACAUGCAAGUCGAACGAAGUGGCGAACGGGUGAGUAAUACGUGAGUAACCUGCCCUCCUUUUUGGGAUAAGCCUUGGAAACGGGGUCUAAUACCGAAUAAAGGGGGAUGGGCUCGCGGCCUAUCAGCUUGUUGGUGGGGUGAUGGCCUACCAAGGCGGUGACGGGUAGCCGGCCUGAGAGGGUGAACGGCCACAUUGGGACUGAGAUACGGCCCAGACUCCUAAGGGAGGCAGGGGUGGGGGUUAUCGCACAAUGGGGUGAAGAAGAACGGAGCGAUGCCGCGUGGGGGAUGAAGGGCUUAGGGUUGUAAAACUCUGUCGCUAGCGAACGGGUAGGAGGAGAGGAAGCCCAAGCUAGCUACGAGCCAGCAGCCGCGGUAAUAC